AAUCAAUCUUAAAAACCUCAUUUAGCUGUGUGUAUUUUACGCACAUCAGCGUGCCUGUUGAAGAAUGAGCUGGUGAAUCAUAGGUAGUGGCUUGGUUAAAGGAGCCCACCAGAGCUGUAACGAAAGUGAGUCUUCAUAGGGCAAUUGUCACUACUUAUGGACCCGAACCUAGGUGAUCUAUCCAUGACCAGGAUGAAGCUUGGGUGAAACUAAGUGGAGGUCCGAACCGACAAAUGUUGAAGAAUCAGCGGAUGAGCUGCGGUUAGGGCUGAAAUGCCGCUCGAACCUAGAGCUAGCUAGUUCUCCUUGAAAUGCAUUAAGGCGCAGUAGUUGACUGGACAUUUAGGGUAAAGCACUGUUUCGAUGCAGGCUAUGAGGGCGGUACCAAAUCGAGGCAGACUUUGAAUACUAGAUAUGACCUCAAAAUAAUAGGGAUCAAGGUCGGCUAGUGAAACGAUGGGGGAUAAGCUUCAUCGUCGAGAGGGAAACAACCCGGAUCACCAGCUAAGGCCCCUAAAUGACCACUUAAUGAUAAAGGAGGUAGGGGUGCAGACACAGCCAGAAGGUUUACCUAGAAGCAGCCACCCUUGAAAGAGUCUGUAAUAGCUCACUGAUCGAGCACUCUUGCACCGAAGAUGAAAGGGGCUAAGUGAUCUUCUGAACCUAUAAGAUGUAAAAAUGCAUCAGUAGGGGAGCGUUCUGCCUUAGAGGGAAGCACCUGUGCGAGCGGGGGUGGACGAAGUGGAAGCGAGAAUGUCAACUUGCGUAAUAAAAACAUUGGUGAGAAUCCAAUGCCCGAAAACCUAAGGGUUCCUCUGCAAGGUUCAUCCAUAGAGGGUGAGUCAGGGCUUAAGAUCAGGCUGAAAGGCGUAAUCGAUGGACAACAGGUGUAUAUUCCUGUACUACCCCUUGUUGGUCUCGAGGGACAGAGGAGGCUAGGUUAGCCAAAAGAUGGUUAUCAGUUCAAGGACGCACGGUGUCCUUGCUUUUUCAAGGUAAGAAGGGGUAGAGAAAAUGCCUCGAGCCAAUGUUCGAGUACUAGGCACUAUAGCGCUGAAGUAACCCAUGCCAUACUUCUAGUAAAAGCUCGAACGACCUUCAAAAAAAGGGUACUUGUACCCAAAACCGACACAGGUAGGUAGGUAGAGAAUACCUAGGGGCACAAGACAAUUCUCUUUAAGGAACUUGGCAAAAUAGCCCCAUAACUUUAGGAGAAGGGGUGCCUCCUCACAAAGGGGGUUGCAGUGACCAGGCCCGGGUGAUUAUUUACCAAAAAUGCAGGUCUUUGCAAAGUCGUAAGACCAUGUAUGGGGACUAACGCCUGCCUAGUACCGGAAGGUCAAGGAAGUUGGUGACUGGAUGAUAAGGGAGUCAGCAACCGAAGCCCCGGUGAACGGCGGUCGUGACUAUAACGGUCCUAAGGUAGCGAAAUUCCUUGUCGGGUAAGUUUCGACCUGCACAAAAAGCAUAACGAUCUGAGCACUGUCUUGGAAGAGACCCGGUGAAAUAGACAUGUCUGUGAAGAUGCGGACUACCUGCACCUGGACAGAAAGACCUUAUGAAGCUUCACUAUUCCUUAGGAUUAGCUUUGGGCCUUUCCUGCGCAGCUUAGGUGGAAGGCGAAGAAGGCCGCCUUUCGGGGGGGUCCGAGCCAUCAGUAAGAUACCACUAUGGAAGAGCUAGAAUUCUAACCGUGUGUCAAGACUUAUGGGCUAAGGGACAGUCUCAGGUAUACAGUUUCUAUAGGGCGUAGGCCUCCUAAAAGGUAACAGAGGCGUGCAAAGGUUUCCUCAGGCCGGACGGAGAUUGGCCCUCGAGUGCAGAGGCAGAAGGGAGCUUGACUACAAGACCCACACGUCGAGUAGGGACGAAAGUCAGCCUUAGUGAUCUAAUGGUGCCGAGCAGAAGGGUCGUCGCUCGAUGGAUAAAAGAUACUCUAGGGAUAACAGGUUCAUCUUCCCCAAGAGCUCACAUCGUUGGGAAGGUUUGGCACCUAAGGCUAUAGUAUGUUCCAAGGGUUGGGUUGUUCGCCUAUUAAAGCGGUACAUGAGCUGGGUUCAGAACGUCGUGAGACAAUUUGAUCCAUAUCCGGUGUGGGCGUUAGAGCAUUAAGAGUACCUUUCCCUAGUACAAGAGGACCAAGAAGGACGCACCUCUAGUAUACCAGUUAUUGUGCCCACGGUAAACGCUGGGUAGCCAAGUGCAGAGUGGAUAACUGCUGAAAGCAUCUAAGUAGUAAGCCCACCCCAAGAUGAGUGCUCUCUAAUUUCGACUUUCCCAGAACCUUCAGUAGCACAAGCUAGACAACGACGGGUUCUGUCAUUAUUGAUUAU
Molecule: ribosomal RNA, 2333 nt
Filed under: Ricinus communis (castor bean)
Lineage: Eukaryota; Viridiplantae; Streptophyta; Magnoliopsida; Malpighiales; Euphorbiaceae
Description: Bacterial large subunit ribosomal RNA
Rfam family: Bacterial large subunit ribosomal RNA
Source: Rfam by way of RNAcentral